Long non-coding RNA from Leptonychotes weddellii (Weddell seal), 267 nucleotides. RefSeq lists it as uncharacterized. The record is from RefSeq and is a predicted model, not a curated record. Lineage: Eukaryota; Metazoa; Chordata; Mammalia; Carnivora; Phocidae.
AGCUCUCUCCCUGUACUGACUUGGUCCUCGUGGCAGCCAUGUGAGCCAGGCGCUCUCGUCGCGUCACUUUUCAGAGGAGGAAACGAAGGCACAGGAUGGGGCUGUCCAAGAAUGCUCACGAAGAGCUGGGCCUGGGUCCUGAAAACAACGCCCGGUGGAUAUUGGGGGAACAUUAGCAGCUGGGCAUCCCCUUGCUGGGAGAAGUGCCUGCAGCAGAAGGGGACCAGCACGCCCAGCCCGUCAGAGGCCGGCUCUGGUGACCAGAAG